Molecule: long non-coding RNA, 4373 nt
Organism: Oncorhynchus tshawytscha (Chinook salmon)
Lineage: Eukaryota; Metazoa; Chordata; Actinopteri; Salmoniformes; Salmonidae
Source: Ensembl
GGAGAGAGGGAGAGAGGGGGAGAGAGAGAGAGAGAGAGAGGGGGAGAGGGAGAGAGAGAGAGAGAGAGAGAGAGAGAGAGGGAGAGAGGGAGACGGGGAGACGGGGAGAGAGAGGAAGAGAGGGAGAGAGGGAGAGAAAGAGAGAGACAGAUAGAGAGAGGGAGAGAGAGAGAGAGAGAGAGAUAUUGACAAAUCAAUGCCACACAAAACUGUUUUCUGCAGAACAUUCAGUGCUGUGGGAUGAUGUGCUGAAGUAGUCAUCUGCCGUAAUCAAACAAUCAAUGAUUGGUUGUGUUAUAACACUUACAUACAACCACCACAAAUGUUACACAUAAUUUUAACAGAUGAUUGGCCAAACAUACAGUAAUACAUGAUAUGGGUAAUAAAUGAUAUGGGUAAUAACAUGAUAUGGGUAUUAAAUGAUAUGGGUCAUAACAUGAUAUGGGUAUUAACAUGAUAUGGGUAUUAAAUGAUAUGGGUCAUAAAUGAUAUGGGUAAUACAUGAUAUGGGUAUUAAUUAACAUGAUAUGGGUCAUAACAUGAUAUGGGUAAUACAUGAUAUGGGUAUUAACAUGAUAUGGGUAUUAAAUGAUAUGGAUCAUAAAUUAUAUGGGUAAUAAAUGAUAUGGGUAUUAAUUAACAUGAUAUGGGUAAUAACAUGAUAUGGGUAAUAAAUGAUAUGGGUAUUAACAUGAUAUGGGUAUUAACAUGAUAUGGGUCAUAAAUGAUAUGGGUAUUAAUUAACAUGAUAUGGGUAUUAACAUGAUAUGGGUCAUAAAUGAUAUGGGUAAUAACAUGAUAUGGGUCAUAAAUGAUAUGGGUAUUAAUUAACAUGAUAUGGGUAAUAACAUGAUAUGGGUAAUAAAUGAUAUGGGUAUUAACAUGAUAUGGGUAUUAACAUGAUAUGGGUCAUAAAUGAUAUGGGUAUUAAUUAACAUGAUAUGGGUAUUAACAUGAUAUGGGUCAUAAAUGAUAUGGGUAAUAACAUGAUAUGGGUCAUAAAUGAUAUGGGUAUUAAUUAACAUGAUAUGGGUCAUAACAUGAUAUGGGUAUUAAAUGAUAUGGUCAAAACAUGAUAUGGGUAUUAAAUGAUAUGGGUCAUAACAUGAUAUGGGUCAUAACAUGAUAUGGGUAUUAACAUGAUAUGGGUAUUAAAUGAUAUGGGUCAUAACAUGAUAUGGGUAAUAAAUGAUAUGGGUAUUAAUUAACAUGAUAUGGGUCAUAAAUGAUAUGGGUCAUAAAUGAUAUGGGUAAUAACAUGAUAUGGGUAAUAAAUGAUAUGGGUAAUAAAUGAUAUGGGUAAUAACAUUAUAUGGGUAUUAACAUGAUAAUAAUGCAUACUGCAAUAUCAACAGUUAAAUAAUUAUGUGAAUGAACAUAGGUAAUGUCCCAAAUGGUGCCCUAUUGUCAAGUAGUGCACUACAAAGGGAAUAGGAUGCCAUUUGAGACGUAACCAUGGUGUUGUGGGAUUGAACUUGUAUGUACAUCACAAAUAUAUAACUGAGGCAUUUUGGGGUGUUUUGGCACACAGAAGGCAAGGCAUAAAAUAAAACAGACACUUGUAUAAAAUAUUACAAUUUAACUGUAACAUAUUCAAAUGAUGAAUUAGAAGAAAUCAGUUCUGUUAUAGUCAUAAUCACAAGGCUACAUACAGCAGCAUCCAACGGGACUGAGUGAGUAGGUAGGUGGGCACCAACGUAGCUAUAGGCUAUCUACUCUACAGCGGUCGUAUUCUAUUGUAGAAUAUCUAUUCACUCGUUAUCUAUGUCAGAUGAAUAUUACAAUCAUUCACUGAUGGACUUCCAUUUUUUACACUUUUGGUGAAAAUACUUUGGACUAUUUGUAUGGAUUUGUAAAAGCAUGAGACAGUACUGCAUGGAAUGGCACUUGUAGAAAGGUGUUGAGCUUUUUUGUCUAAAUAAUAUAAUAACAUAGCGGCUGCAUUUACACAGGCAGCCAAAUUCUGAUCAUUUUUCACUAAUACUUUUUUUUUUUGACCAGCUCUGAAGAAAAAAAAUGUGAUGUGAUUGGUCAAAAGAUCAGAAUUUUCCGCCUGCGUAAACGCAGCCAGUGUGCAUCCAAGAUUUAAAAAAACAUAUUCCCUAGUGGACUACUUUUGUCUAGGACCCAUUGGUGCACCAUAAAGUACAGAUCAGUGUUUCCCAACUCCAGAUGUCGAGUACUCCCAACAGCUCAAUGAGUUGAAUCAACUGAGUUUUUCUGGGGCUACAACAAUAAUGUGGGCUUUUGAGGUUACUGGAGGACUGGAGUUGGGCUUUUGGGGGUACUGGAGGACCAGAGUUGGGCUGUUGGGGGUACUGGAGGACUGGAGUUGGGCUGUUGGGGGUACUGGAGGACUGGAGUUGGGCUGUUGGGGGGUACUGGAGGACUGGAGUUGGGCUGUUGGGGGUAGGGAGGACUGGAGUUGGGCUGAUUGGGCUGGGGGUACUGGAGGUCUGGAGUUGGGCUGUUGGGGGUACUGGAGGACUGGAGUAGGGCUGUUGGGGGUACUGGAGGACUGGAGUUGGGCUGUUGAGGGUACUGGAGGACUGGAGGGCUGUGGGGGGGCUGUUGGGGGUACUGGAGGACUGGAGUUGGGCUGUUGGGGGACUGGAGUAGGGCUGGCUGGGGUACUGGAGGACUGGAGUUGGGCUGUUGGGAGGACUGGAGUAGGGCUGUUGAGGGUACUGGAGGACCAGAGUUGAGCUGUUGGGGGUACUGGAGGACUGGAGUUGGGCUGUUGGGGGGACUGGAGUAGGGAAACACUGGUAUAGGGGAUAGGGUGUCAGUUCAGACACAUUAUAUUACUAGGCUGGAUCUUCCACAUGCAGAUAACUUAGUUUGAGGAGAGAGUGUGUUCAUGGACUAAUUGCACUUGAAAAUAUAUAAAUUACAACACUACUCAUUCAGUUGUGGGCAGAAGACCAUAACACGCUAUAGGCCCGCAUCCUAAAGUUGUUCGUGCAAAUCUUCCAUUGAAAUGAAUGAAUGAUGAACGCAAGUGGAGUUGAGAUUGGGGUCCUGACUGUGUUUAAUACUUUGAUAGAUGUCAUAUUAUGGCACUGUGAUGUCAUAAUGCAGCCGAGCUAUAACUGAACUAUUCAAAUUAUUCAAGACAAGCUGGAAGCAAAGUGCUACCAUACGUUGAUCAUUUUGGCGUUGUUGUUGUCAUGGAAACAUAAAGCGGAAAAACAAGGCAGCAGAUUUCCCUUGACUGAUUCCAAACUCUCUAGUCGUUCAACAACGAUGACAAGUUGAAAACACGAAGAAAAAAAUAACUAAAGAGACUCAAAUAGAUUCAAAUAAUGACACAAUCAAUCAUGUUUUAUGCCAUAGUUCGAUAGUUGUUCACUCGUUUCCCUAUUCCUGAGGUAGCCCAGUUUUGAAUUGAUUUGAAUAAACGCUGCAUAGCUGGCCGUCAAAAACAACUCUUCCCUUUAACCUCUCAUCACGGUCAUAUAAAAAUACAUUAACAAACAAUAUUUUAUUCCAGAAGUACAAACAAACGCUUUUUAGAAAAUGACAUUUCUUUUAGAUGUCUCAUAAAAUACUCCUCCACUCCGGUAGAUGUUUCCCCUUGAGUAGAACUGUUACUUCUACUAGUUCAACGUUGGCAAACCCCGAAUGGGGAAAUGAUCUAGCCAGGGUAAACAAUGGUGGGAGGUGGUGGGGAUCCUCAGACCUCGGUGCCGUCGUUGUGGAGGUUGUUGUGGAGCUUGACCUCCAGGUUGACCUGCUUGACUUUCGCCCCUCCGUUGACCUUUGCGCCUCUGUUGACCUUGGAGUUGACGUUGUCGUAGUUCCGGUUGAUGUUGAUGUUCCUGACGGUGCAAUGUUUAGAGCUAAAGUUCUUCUCCAGGGUCCUCUCCAAACACACCUCUACUUUGGUGUUCAGAGGGUACUCCUCCGCCAUCUGGGGUGGCUUCUUACCAGCCGAUCGUCGGCACUUCCUGAAGAGUAAACAUGAAGCGAGCAGGACGAGGACCAAUAGGGUUAGUGCGGCCACGCCCCCGCCCACCGAACCGCCCAUCUGGGGGUUAAAGGUUGAGGCAGCGGGGACCUCGAGGUGGAGAGUCUUCAUGUUGGUUCCGUUCUUCGUCUGGUCACCCUCAUUGUCAUAUAUCAGAGACUGGUCUAGAGUGAGACGUCCGCUGUGGUCAACAAGGUCCCGGCGAGCACGGCUGUGGCCGAUGCUUUGGCUCAGCUGAUUGACCAGAUCCCGGCGAGUCCGCCCCCCGCCACUGCUGUGGGUGAGCUGAUAGGUCAGAGAACGCUGAAUCCUGGGGCCGGAUAUGGACUCUGGACCAAUCACGUAGAUCACCUGAAGGUACCACUGAUGCCCCGCCUCCACCUGUCAAUCAAAAGAGAGAGAG